GAAGGUCUUCGGAUGCCGCAGUUUGGUACAACCUCCAGAUCCAUACUCUCGACCAUCUGCGCACCCGACUGCUGCUGCUGUAACUAGUUACAGCUUGCGUCGAGCGAGAUCUCGCAUGGGGAUGAACCUUUCGUGAGAGUUGGUGUAUGGGUGCCGUGCCAAGCUGUGUGCAUCCAAAGACUUUC
Marchantia polymorpha subsp. ruderalis is the source of this 185-nucleotide non-coding RNA. The record is from the annotation of a GenBank genome assembly. Lineage: Eukaryota; Viridiplantae; Streptophyta; Marchantiopsida; Marchantiales; Marchantiaceae.